This 497-nucleotide ribosomal RNA is filed under the name uncultured bacterium. RNAcentral's name for it is "partial 16S ribosomal RNA". It matches the Rfam family "Bacterial small subunit ribosomal RNA", at positions 28 to 507 of the family's 1533-position model. The record is from RNAcentral.
GAUGAACGCUGGCGGCGUGCCUAAUACAUGCAAGUCGAGCGAACGGACGAGAAGCUUGCUUCUCUGAUGUUAGCGGCGGACGGGUGAGUAACACGUGGAUAACCUACCUAUAAGACUGGGAUAACUUCGGGAAACCGUAGCUAAUACCGGAUAAUAUUUUGAACCGCAUGGUUCAAAAGUGAAAGACGGUCUUGCUGUCACUUAUAGAUGGAUCCGCGCUGCAUUAGCUAGUUGGUAAGGUAACGGCUUACCAAGGCAACGAUGCAUAGCCGACCUGAGAGGGGGAUAGGCCACACUGGAGCGGAGACACGGACCAGGCUCCUACGGGAGGCAGCAGUAGGGAAUCUUCCGCAAUGGGCGAAAGCCUGACGGAGCAACGCCGCGUGAGUGAUGAAGGUCUUCGGAUCGUAAAACUCUGUUAUUAGGGGAGAACAUAUGUGUAAGUAACUGUGCACAUCUUGACGGUACCUAAUCAGAAAGCCACGGCUAACUACGUG